AAAAAAAUCUAUAAACACAGAUAUAAAAAGCUACUGUUGCCUCUGUUCAAGUUCCCAUCACAUGUGACCUGAUUUUCUUAUCUUCUGUGAUGUCUGGACCCUUAUUUCCCAGAGAAAGCCAAGGCGAAUUGCUUUCAGGAGUCUCUAUCUCUGUCUGCAAACCAAACCCAGUUUGCCCAUUAGGCAGACAUCUGGUGUGGAGACCACGGCAAAACUUCCUCAUGGAGCCUCAAUCUGAGUGGAAGGCCAAGCUGUACUUGGUCAGAAUUCAUCUGGAGAUCAAGAGAGAGUUGAAAUCACAGCAGGAGGGCCGUGAAGAGAGAAGAUGUUUUUAAAACUUGGAUGGUUUCCCAGGAAUUUUUUUUUUUCAUUUCUUUCUUUUUUUUUUUUUAUUUUUAUUUUUUCUUUUUCUUUGGCUUCCCACUUUCCAAAAAUACGAGGUAACAUCAGAGGUUUCCCAAGCUGUCAUAAGGUUUGAAGAGAGCGUGUUGGCAUGUUCAUUGCCCCUUAGGAAACAAGGCUAUCUGUUUUUCUUCCCAGCUUUGCAGUCCAUGUGAGCAUUUUGUUAACAGCAGGUCAGCUGUUUCAAAUUCAGUCGCUAUCAACAUAGACCUUGUUAUCAGGGAAAGAAAAUGCUUUUUCUGUGAGCCUGGUUUUCUUCAAGUCUCCCUUUUGUUAGAAUCUGUGACCAUUACUGCUUUUGUGAAUAUAUUUC
This 715-nucleotide long non-coding RNA is filed under the name Macaca fascicularis (crab-eating macaque). Its description in RNAcentral is "lncRNA (ENSMFAG00000054750.1)". Lineage: Eukaryota; Metazoa; Chordata; Mammalia; Primates; Cercopithecidae. The record is from RNAcentral.